GUCUAUGGCCAUGCCACGCUCGGAACCUAAGCAGGGUUGGGCCUGGUUAGUACUUGGAUGGGAGACCACCUAGGAAGACCAGGUGCUGUAGGCA
Molecule: ribosomal RNA, 94 nt
Filed under: Pteropus alecto (black flying fox)
Lineage: Eukaryota; Metazoa; Chordata; Mammalia; Chiroptera; Pteropodidae
Source: RNAcentral